RNAcentral lists this ribosomal RNA (253 nucleotides) under uncultured bacterium. Its description in RNAcentral is "partial 16S ribosomal RNA". It matches the Rfam family "Bacterial small subunit ribosomal RNA", at positions 524 to 776 of the family's 1533-position model. The record is from RNAcentral.
UACGGAGGUUGCAAACGAUGCUCGGAAUCAUUGGGCGUAAACCGCACGUAGGCGGUCCGGUAAGUCGGAUGUGAAAGCCCUCGGCUCAACCGAGGAAGUGCAUUCGAAACUGCCGGACUUGAGUACGGGAGAGGGAUGCGGAAUUCCCGGUGUAGAAGUGAAAUUCGUAGAUAUCGGGAGGAACACAAGUGGCGAAGGCGGCAUCCUGGACCGAUACUGACGCUGAGGUGCGAAAGCGUGGGGAGCAAACAGG